RNAcentral lists this ribosomal RNA (460 nucleotides) under uncultured bacterium. RNAcentral's name for it is "partial 16S ribosomal RNA". It matches the Rfam family "Bacterial small subunit ribosomal RNA", at positions 338 to 795 of the family's 1533-position model. The record is from RNAcentral.
CCUACGGGUGGCAGCAGUGAGGAAUAUUGGUCAAUGGGCGCGAGCCUGAACCAGCCAAGUAGCGUGAAGGAUGACUGCCCUACGGGUUGUAAACUGCUUUUAUAAGGGAGUAAAGUGAGGCACGUGUGCCUGUCUGUAUGUACUGUAUGAAUAAGGAUCGGCUAACUCCGUGCCAGCAGCCGCGGUAAUACGGAGGAUCCGAGCGUUAUCCGGAUUUAUUGGGUUUAAAGGGAGCGUAGAUGGGUUGUUAAGUCAGUUGUGAAAGUUUGCGGCUCAACCGUAAAAUUGCAAUUGAUACUGGCCGUCUUGAGUGCAGUUGCGGUAGGCGGAAUUCGUGGUGUAGCGGUGAAAUGCUUAGAUAUCACGCAGAACUCCGAUUGCGAAGGCAGCUUACUAAACUGCCACUGACAUUGAUGCUCGAAAGUGUGGGUAUCAAACAGGAUUAGAUACCCCUGUAGUC